UACGUAGGGUGCAAGCGUUGUCCGGAAUUAUUGGGCGUAAAAGAGCUCGUAGGCGGUUUUGUUGCGUCGGCUGUGAAAAUCCCCGAGGCUCAACCUCGGGUCUGCAGUCGAUACGAGCAAAACUAGAGUGUUGCAGGGGGAGACUGGAAUUCCUGGUGUAGCGGUGAAAAUGCGCAGAUAUCAGGGAGGGAAACACCCAAUGGCGAAAGGCAGCUCGCUGGGGACGGUACUGACG
RNAcentral lists this ribosomal RNA (235 nucleotides) under uncultured bacterium. RNAcentral describes it as "partial 16S ribosomal RNA". It matches the Rfam family "Bacterial small subunit ribosomal RNA", at positions 524 to 745 of the family's 1533-position model. The record is from RNAcentral.